GGCGACAGUGCGCAUGUGUACAGAAAGGCCGACACGCUCAGCUACAGUGCGCUGAUUGGUCAGAUUGCCUGUCAAUCGGAAUAGCGAGGAGGCGGACUCAGGGCCCUGAAAAGGCGGAGCUUUGCCUUCGCCGGGAAAGAAAGUGCUUCGCCUCACUUCGGUGCUUUUGGGGAAAUUGAGGCACGGGGCUGAGAAGGAAUUUACUCGGGAUCAUAGGACCUCUCCUAAGGCAAAACAGGAACGAAAGGACACACAAAAAUGAGUUGUGUUUGCUUCUGGAGAAAGAAUCAGACGUGAGAAGAUGAAUAGUGAUUUUCACCCUCUGGAAUUGUGCUCCACAUCCAGCAUGGAAUUUGACAUAGGACCUUAAU
Long non-coding RNA from Mustela erminea (ermine), 371 nucleotides. RefSeq lists it as uncharacterized. The record is from RefSeq and is a predicted model, not a curated record. NCBI's taxonomy places the organism in Eukaryota, Metazoa, Chordata, Mammalia, Carnivora, Mustelidae. The transcript is spliced from 3 exons.